RNAcentral lists this ribosomal RNA (460 nucleotides) under uncultured bacterium. RNAcentral describes it as "partial 16S ribosomal RNA". It matches the Rfam family "Bacterial small subunit ribosomal RNA", at positions 338 to 795 of the family's 1533-position model. The record is from RNAcentral.
CCUACGGGUGGCAGCAGUGAGGAAUAUUGGUCAAUGGGCGAGAGCCUGAACCAGCCAAGUCGCGUGAAGGAUGAAGGAUCUAUGGUUUGUAAACUUCUUUUAUAUGGGAAUAAAGUGAGGAACGUGUUCCUUUUUGUAUGUACCCUAUGAAUAAGCAUCGGCUAACUCCGUGCCAGCAGCCGCGGUAAUACGGAGGAUGCGAGCGUUAUCCGGAUUUAUUGGGUUUAAAGGGUGCGUAGGUUGUUUUUUAAGUCAGCGGUGAAAGUUUGUGGCUCAACCAUAAAAUUGCCGUUGAAACUGGACGACUUGAGUGUGUUUGAGGUAGGCGGAAUGCGUGGUGUAGCGGUGAAAUGCAUAGAUAUCACGCAGAACUCCGAUUGCGAAGGCAGCUUACUAAGCCAUAACUGACACUGAAGCACGAAAGCGUGGGGAGCAAACAGGAUUAGAUACCCUUGUAGUC